RNAcentral lists this ribosomal RNA (429 nucleotides) under Acidobacteriota bacterium. RNAcentral describes it as "Acidobacteria bacterium partial 16S ribosomal RNA". It matches the Rfam family "Bacterial small subunit ribosomal RNA", at positions 355 to 776 of the family's 1533-position model. Lineage: Bacteria; Pseudomonadati; Acidobacteriota. The record is from RNAcentral.
UGGGGAAUUUUGGACAAUGGGGGAAACCCUGAUCCAGCCAUCCCGCGUGUGCGAUGAAGGCCUUCGGGUUGUAAAGCACUUUUGGCAGGAAAGAAACGUCAUGGGUUAAUACCCCGUGAAACUGACGGUACCUGCAGAAUAAGCACCGGCUAACUACGUGCCAGCAGCCGCGGUAAUACGUAGGGUGCAAGCGUUAAUCGGAAUUACUGGGCGUAAAGCGUGCGCAGGCGGUUCGGAAAGAAAGAUGUGAAAUCCCAGAGCUCAACUUUGGAACUGCAUUUUUAACUACCGGGCUAGAGUGUGUCAGAGGGAGGUGGAAUUCCGCGUGUAGCAGUGAAAUGCGUAGAUAUGCGGAGGAACACCGGUGGCGAAGGCAGCCUCCUGGGAUAACACUGACGCUCAUGCACGAAAGCGUGGGGAGCAAACAGG